UACAGAGGGUGCAAGCGUUGUUCGGAGUUACUGGGCGUAAAGGGUGUGUAGGCGGUUUUCUAAGUCUGGUGUGAAAUCUCCCGGCUCAACUGGGAGGGUGCGCCGAAAACUGGAAGGCUAGAGUGCGGGAUGGGAGAGUGGAAUUCCUGGUGUAGCGGUGAAAUGCGUAGAUAUCAGGAGGAACACCUGUGGUGUAGACGGCUCUCUGGGCAACAACUGACGCUGAGGAGCGAAAGCGUGGGGAGCGAACAGG
RNAcentral lists this ribosomal RNA (253 nucleotides) under uncultured bacterium. RNAcentral's name for it is "partial 16S ribosomal RNA". It matches the Rfam family "Bacterial small subunit ribosomal RNA", at positions 524 to 776 of the family's 1533-position model. The record is from RNAcentral.